ACGGAAGGCAGCAGUGGGGAAUAUUGGACAAUGGGGGAAACCCUGAUCCAGCGACGCCGCGUGAGUGAAGAAGUAUUUCGGUAUGUAAAGCUCUAUCAGCAGGGAAGAUGAUGACGGUACCUGACUAAGAAGCCCCGGCUAACUACGUGCCAGCAGCCGCGGUAAUACGUAGGGGGCAAGCGUUAUCCGGAUUUACUGGGUGUAAAGGGAGCGUAGGCGGCUGUGCAAGUCAGAUGUGAAAACCCGGGGCUCAACUCCGGGACUGCAUUUGAAACUGCGUAGCUUGAGUACUGGAGAGGCAAGCGGAAUUCCUAGUGUAGCGGUGAAAUGCGUAGAUAUUAGGAAGAACACCGGUGGCGAAGGCGGCUUGCUGGACAGAGACUGACGCUGAGGCUCGAAAGCGUGGGGAGCAAACAGGAUUAGAUACCCUGGUA
Molecule: ribosomal RNA, 434 nt
Filed under: uncultured Lachnospiraceae bacterium
Lineage: Bacteria; Bacillati; Bacillota; Clostridia; Lachnospirales; Lachnospiraceae
Description: partial 16S ribosomal RNA
Rfam family: Bacterial small subunit ribosomal RNA
Source: RNAcentral